AACGCUGGCGGCGUGCCUAAUACAUGCAAGUAGAACGCUGAAGCUUGGUGCUUGCACCGAGCGGAUGAGUUGCGAACGGGUGAGUAACGCGUAGGUAACCUGCCUGGUAGCGGGGGAUAACUAUUGGAAACGAUAGCUAAUACCGCAUGAUAUUGAUUAUUGCAUGAUAGUCAAUUAAAAGGUGCAAUUGCAUCACUACCAGAUGGACCUGCGUUGUAUUAGCUAGUUGGUGAGGUAACGGCUCACCAAGGCAACGAUACAUAGCCGACCUGAGAGGGUGAUCGGCCACACUGGGACUGAGACACGGCCCAGACUCCUACGGGAGGCAGCAGUAGGGAAUCUUCGGCAAUGGACGGAAGUCUGACCGAGCAACGCCGCGUGAGUGAAGAAGGUUUUCGGAUCGUAAAGCUCUGUUGUAAGAGAAGAACGAGUGUGAGAGUGGAAAGUUCA
Molecule: ribosomal RNA, 450 nt
Filed under: Streptococcus sp. oral taxon 070
Lineage: Bacteria; Bacillati; Bacillota; Bacilli; Lactobacillales; Streptococcaceae
Description: bacterial SSU rRNA
Rfam family: Bacterial small subunit ribosomal RNA
Source: RNAcentral